GACGAACCGUGCAAACGUUAUUCGGAAUCACUGGGCUUAAAGCGUGCGUAGGCGGCUCAGAAAGUUGGGUGUGAAAUCCCUCGGCCUAACCGAGGAAUUGCGCCCAAAACUACUGGGCUUGAGGGAGUUAGAGGUGAGCGGAACUCACGGUGGAGCGGUGAAAUGCGUUGAUAUCGUGAGGAACACCGGAGGCGAAAGCGGCUCACGGGGCUUAUCUGACGCUGAGGCACGAAAGCUAGGGGAGCAAACGGG
This 252-nucleotide ribosomal RNA is filed under the name uncultured bacterium. Its description in RNAcentral is "partial 16S ribosomal RNA". It matches the Rfam family "Bacterial small subunit ribosomal RNA", at positions 524 to 776 of the family's 1533-position model. The record is from RNAcentral.